GUCGUGAGAUGUUGGGUUAAGUCCCGUAACGAGCGCAACCCUUGUCCUUAGUUACCAGCACGUUAUGGUGGGCACUCUAAGGAGACUGCCGGUGACAAACCGAGGAAGGUGGGGAUGACGUCAAGUCAUCAUGGCCCUUACGGCCUGGGCUACACACGUGCUACAAUGGUCGGUACAAAGGGUUGCCAAGCCGCGAGGUGGAGCUAAUCCCAUAAAACCGAUCGUAGUCCGGAUCGCAGUCUGCAACUCGACUGCGUGAAGUCGGAAUCGCUAGUAAUCGUGAAUCAGAAUGUCACGGUGAAUACGUUCCCGGGCCUU
This 318-nucleotide ribosomal RNA is filed under the name uncultured Pseudomonas sp. RNAcentral describes it as "bacterial SSU rRNA". It matches the Rfam family "Bacterial small subunit ribosomal RNA", at positions 1064 to 1382 of the family's 1533-position model. Lineage: Bacteria; Pseudomonadati; Pseudomonadota; Gammaproteobacteria; Pseudomonadales; Pseudomonadaceae. The record is from RNAcentral.